RNAcentral lists this transfer RNA (72 nucleotides) under Candidatus Curtissbacteria bacterium RIFCSPHIGHO2_12_41_11. RNAcentral's name for it is "tRNA-Thr". It matches the Rfam family "tRNA". Rfam says of the family: Transfer RNA (tRNA) molecules are approximately 80 nucleotides in length. Their secondary structure includes four short double-helical elements and three loops (D, anti-codon, and T loops). Lineage: Bacteria; Candidatus Curtissiibacteriota. The record is from RNAcentral.
GCCGACGUGGCUCAGUGGUAGAGCGUUUCCUUGGUAAGGAAAAAGUCAUGGGUUCGAUUCCCAUCGUCGGCU